This 585-nucleotide ribosomal RNA is filed under the name Pseudomonas sp. StFLB043. RNAcentral describes it as "bacterial SSU rRNA". It matches the Rfam family "Bacterial small subunit ribosomal RNA", at positions 102 to 683 of the family's 1533-position model. Lineage: Bacteria; Pseudomonadati; Pseudomonadota; Gammaproteobacteria; Pseudomonadales; Pseudomonadaceae. The record is from RNAcentral.
ACGGGUGAGUAAUGCCUAGGAAUCUGCCUAUUAGUGGGGGACAACGUUUCGAAAGGAACGCUAAUACCGCAUACGUCCUACGGGAGAAAGCAGGGGACCUUCGGGCCUUGCGCUAAUAGAUGAGCCUAGGUCGGAUUAGCUAGUUGGUGAGGUAAAGGCUCACCAAGGCGACGAUCCGUAACUGGUCUGAGAGGAUGAUCAGUCACACUGGAACUGAGACACGGUCCAGACUCCUACGGGAGGCAGCAGUGGGGAAUAUUGGACAAUGGGCGAAAGCCUGAUCCAGCCAUGCCGCGUGUGUGAAGAAGGUCUUCGGAUUGUAAAGCACUUUAAGUUGGGAGGAAGGGCAGUAAAUUAAUACUUUGCUGUUUUGACGUUACCGACAGAAUAAGCACCGGCUAACUCUGUGCCAGCAGCCGCGGUAAUACAGAGGGUGCAAGCGUUAAUCGGAAUUACUGGGCGUAAAGCGCGCGUAGGUGGUUUGUUAAGUUGGAUGUGAAAGCCCCGGGCUCAACCUGGGAACUGCAUCCAAAACUGGCAAGCUAGAGUACGGUAGAGGGUGGUGGAAUUUCCUGUGUAGCGGUG